Molecule: ribosomal RNA, 225 nt
Filed under: uncultured Aquimonas sp.
Lineage: Bacteria; Pseudomonadati; Pseudomonadota; Gammaproteobacteria; Lysobacterales; Lysobacteraceae
Description: partial 16S ribosomal RNA
Rfam family: Bacterial small subunit ribosomal RNA
Source: RNAcentral
UGCGUAGGCGGUUUGUUAAGUCAGAUGUGAAAGCCCCGGGCUCAACCUGGGAACUGCAUUUGAUACUGGCAGGCUAGAGUGCGGUAGAGGGUGGUGGAAUUCCCGGUGUAGCGGUGAAAUGCGUAGAGAUCGGGAGGAACAUCCGUGGCGAAGGCGGCCACCUGGACCAGCACUGACGCUGAGGCACGAAAGCGUGGGGAGCAAACAGGAUUAGAUACCCCCGUA